This 620-nucleotide ribosomal RNA is filed under the name uncultured bacterium. RNAcentral describes it as "bacterial SSU rRNA". It matches the Rfam family "Bacterial small subunit ribosomal RNA", at positions 338 to 951 of the family's 1533-position model. The record is from RNAcentral.
CCUACGGGAGGCAGCAGUGGGGAAUUUUGGACAAUGGGCGCAAGCCUGAUCCAGCCAUUCCGCGUGAGUGAAGAAGGCCUUCGGGUUGUAAAGCUCUUUCGCAAGAGAAGAACACUUACUUUCUAAUAAAGAGUGAGGUUGACGGUAUCUUGAUAAGAAGCACCGGCUAACUACGUGCCAGCAGCCGCGGUAAUACGUAGGGUGCGAGCGUUAAUCGGAAUUACUGGGCGUAAAGCGUGCGCAGGCUGUUUUGUAAGUCAGAUGUGAAAUCCCCGAGCUCAACUUGGGAACUGCGUUUGAAACUACAAGACUAGAAUAUGUCAGAGGGGGGUAGAAUUCCACGUGUAGCAGUGAAAUGCGUAGAGAUGUGGAGGAAUACCAAUGGCGAAGGCAGCCCCCUGGGAUAAUAUUGACGCUCAUGCACGAAAGCGUGGGGAGCAAACAGGAUUAGAUACCCUGGUAGUCCACGCCCUAAACGAUGUCUACUAGUUGUUGGUGGAGUAAAAUCCAUGAGUAACGCAGCUAACGCGUGAAGUAGACCGCCUGGGGAGUACGGUCGCAAGNUUAAAACGUCAAAUGAGUAGAGNGNGAGAGNGCGAGGACGACGACGAGGGAGGAGG